RNAcentral lists this ribosomal RNA (465 nucleotides) under Vreelandella stevensii. RNAcentral describes it as "partial 16S ribosomal RNA". It matches the Rfam family "Bacterial small subunit ribosomal RNA", at positions 338 to 795 of the family's 1533-position model. The record is from RNAcentral. Lineage: Bacteria; Pseudomonadati; Pseudomonadota; Gammaproteobacteria; Oceanospirillales; Halomonadaceae.
CCUACGGGUGGCAGCAGUGAGGAAUAUUGGACAAUGGGCGAAAGCCUGAUCCAGCCAUGCCGCGUGUGUGAAGAAGGCCUUCGGGUUGUAAAGCACUUUCAGUGGGGAAGAAAGCCUUGGGGCUAAUACCCUCGAGGAAGGACAUCACCCACAGAAGAAGCACCGGCUAACUCCGUGCCAGCAGCCGCGGUAAUACGGAGGGUGCGAGCGUUAAUCGGAAUUACUGGGCGUAAAGCGCGCGUAGGCGGUCUGAUAAGCCGGUUGUGAAAGCCCCGGGCUCAACCUGGGAACGGCAUCCGGAACUGUCAGGCUAGAGUGCAGGAGAGGAAGGUAGAAUUCCCGGUGUAGCGGUGAAAUGCGUAGAGAUCGGGAGGAAUACCAGUGGCGAAGGCGGCCUUCUGGACUGACACUGACGCUGAGGUGCGAAAGCGUGGGUAGCAAACAGGAUUAGAUACCCGAGUAGUC